UACAGAGGGGGCAAGCGUUGUUCGGAAUUACUGGGCGUAAAGGGCGCGUAGGCGGCCUUCUAAGUCGAACGUGAAAUCCCUGGGCUCAACCCAGGAACUGCGUCCGAUACUGGAAGGCUUGAAUCCGGGAGAGGGAUGCGGAAUUCCAGGUGUAGCGGUGAAAUGCGUAGAUAUCUGGAGGAACACCGGUGGCGAAGGCGGCAUCCUGGACCGGCAUUGACGCUGAGGCGCGAAAGCGUGGGGAGCAAACAGG
This 253-nucleotide ribosomal RNA is filed under the name uncultured bacterium. Its description in RNAcentral is "partial 16S ribosomal RNA". It matches the Rfam family "Bacterial small subunit ribosomal RNA", at positions 524 to 776 of the family's 1533-position model. The record is from RNAcentral.